This 108-nucleotide small nucleolar RNA is filed under the name Gossypium arboreum. RNAcentral describes it as "Plant small nucleolar RNA R71". It matches the Rfam family "Plant small nucleolar RNA R71". Rfam says of the family: R71 is a member of the C/D box family of snoRNAs containing the C (UGAUGA) and D (CUGA) box motifs. Multiple nearly identical copies of this snoRNA have been identified in Arabidopsis, and it is thought to function as a 2'-O-ribose methylation guide for 18S ribosomal RNA. Lineage: Eukaryota; Viridiplantae; Streptophyta; Magnoliopsida; Malvales; Malvaceae. The record is from Rfam by way of RNAcentral.
AACCCAUGGUGAGGACACCUUCUCAAAAGGUCCUUGUAUCUUUCCCACGCAUCGUAGAGUGUUUUUAAAAUCCAUCUGCACAAAAGAAGAGAUAUCAUUACGUAAUUU